GCGAUCGCACGCCCUCUUCCCUGCCGCAAACUCCACUGCCGAAACUACCGCCGCCAUCCUCCCGCAGCGAUCGUGCGACGGGAUCUCAGACCAUCCCGCCGACCCUGCGGCGCCGCCUCCCAGUCCGCCAUCACCUUCCUGCUGCUGCCGCCUCCAAGUCCGCCAUCGCCUUUCUGUUGCUGCCGCUGACCCUGUGCCGCCGUCGCCUCCCAGUCCGCCUCCUCCUCUUCCAGCCUCAAAUCUGGCCCACCUCCCCUGACCCGCCUCUCACCCCACGCCUCCCGACGGUUCCAUCUCCACACCGACGCCCUCCCCCUCCUCGCCCACGCGACGCCCUUCCCCUCAUGCCGCCACAGCCCGCGAAGCCCUCGCCCUCGCCUAGCGCCCUCCCCACACCGUCGUCCCCACCGUGUCCGACUCCGGCCUCCCCGACGAGCGCGGGUCGCUGGCUCUCCGCUGCUCCGCCGUCGACGCGCCGUGCCCUCGCGCCGCCGUCCCCCGCGCUUCGCCGCCGACGUGCGGCGCUGGCGGCCUCCCCACGACGCUCCACCGCGACUACCGCUGUCCCGCCGUGGAUCCCGACUCCUGCAGCCCCGUCGCGCUGCUGCCGUCCCCGACGCGCGCGCCGCGACUCCUGCCGCCCCGCUUGUAACCUCCAGACUCACGGCGACUGUGCAAGACUGUUUUCCCUAUGGUUUGCACUCAGCGUGGCUAUUCAAAAUGGUACUGCCUUUCACUCCUCCUCCUCCUUGGUACCUUUACUAACAGGGCUACUCUUGCAGUAAUUAAACAACUGUCUUUCAGAAUUUAAACUUUUUUUGCGCACUUUGCUCACUUUAAAAGAAUCAAUUAUAUUGCAGGGGGUUAUGCAGAUCAUGUUUUACAUGCUUACUGAAGAAGCGGCACACAGAUUCUACAAUCAUCUUGCAUUAUUACUAGCACUUUGCAUAGCAAAGAGUGAGAGCGAUCGAUACAAUGCUCUGAUUUAGGAGCUGUUUUGGUCCCUGCAUCCAUCAAUCUGAAAUAGGUAUUGCCUUGUCAGCCCAGUAUUGAACUUUAGCCUGAAAAAUUGCUUAUGCUGCCCUGCUUUUUUCAAAUACCUUGAGAUCUUAAGCAUGUGUCGCGAAUCCCAUUUAAGUUCCAAUCCAUUUGGAAAAACCAUUGACUUGAGGUUGAAAUUGUCCACCUGGGAAAAAGGAAUAUCAUCUGUUUUAGUUAUAGAAUUGAAGUGAAAGAGCUUCUACCUUCUAGUUUGUUCGCUUGCUGUAGGAUUUGUAGUUGCUUAGGUGCAUGAAGUAGUGUUCUGCCUUUAGGGAUCCCUAAAGGCAUGGAAGGAGGAGACGAGUUUUAUGCUCUCCUCUACUCUUUAAGGUUUAUGUUUUUUGCAUGUACUGCAUAGUGCCAUAGUACCAGUACUUGUACAAGGAUCAGUGCUUGUGUGUCUUGAUUUGGAAUAUGUAAGUCAUCAGCCAAAGUACUUUUUUGUAGUGUCAGUUUCAUGUUUGAUGAAUUUGCAGUUGCUUAAGAAUUGUUGAAGUGCUAUUUUCUCCCAAUCACCGACGCAUCAAUCAUCAUGUCCACCAGUUUUAAGUGAUCAAAUGAGCAGCUCCUCGCUGCCAACAAUGUGUGGCAAUAGGUUGCAUCAGGACUUCAGACUCAGAGCGUCUGAAAUAGGGGACUUCUUGUAUCCAGAACUCAUUAUGGCAUGCAUUUCCGAUGAUACGCCAACCUCUCGGCGUAGCCCAGCAAGGAAAAGAUCCACUAAUACAACUUAAUAAAGAACUAUGUGAGACAAAUCGCCGUCCACACUCCACUAACCUUUUAUGUUGAUGCCCAUACAUAAUGCUUUAAUUCCAGUCAUCUGGUGUGCUUGUGCUGAUUCUUUUCUUUUUUUUGUUUUUUUCCUGAAAAGAAUUAGAUCAGUACUGAUCCUUGUACCAUCGUUGCAGUUUUAACAUUCCUGCUCUAGAACUCAAGCAAUAUAUUGAGAAUCUUAGCACCUAGCAGAAUAUUGCAAUUGACCUUUUAUGUUGCUUUAAUUAUGGUCAUCUUGUAUGCUUGUGCUGAUUCUUUUUUUUUGCUCCUAAAGAGAAUUAGAUCAGCAUUACAACUCUGAAACUUCAUUCAAAUACAAUAUGGCUUACUUUUUGAAGUGCAUCAACUGCAACCAUUUGCUAAUUAUUUUUGUAGGUGCAUCAGAUGCGUCAAUUUACUUAAUAGAAAAAAAGAGAGAUGUUCAGGUAGACUUUGGCUAUAGGGAUUACAAAAAUUCAGUGGAAAUUCAAUACCCCUUUGGAAGGACUAGAUUUUAUGAACGGACUAUGUUUUGCCAUCUGAUAAUUAUCAAAUUCGUAUAUGAUUUUGGUGAAUAGGAUGAUCUACUCUUAGAUGUAAUGCAUGCAUCUCUUGUAUAGCAGUUCGGAGAAUUUUUUUAUAUAUAUAUAUCCAAUUGAUGGUUGUGAGCAUCAAUUGAAGUAAGUAUCAUCUGCUUUAUUCUAAACUGAAAGAUUGUUAUCUAUAUUAUUAUACUAAUUGUAUUAUGUUGAUAUUGGAUCAUGUACGGUUAUCAAACUAUCAUAGAUGGGUCCGGUGAAAAAUAACAGGGGUCGUACUCCAUUUGCGCUUGUGUUUGAGAUUUCAGUUCACUAAACAGAGUUCUCAUUAACACAUUGUGUAGGUACUGAAACAUCCAUUGCAUACCUAUUGAAACAUCAAAAAAUUGAAUUAAAUAUGUUGCAGGUUCGCCAAGGUUGUCAAGGAGGCGGAGAGCAGAGGGAUCGCAGUUGUCUGUGUUCUUGGGACAGACCGACCUAAAGAUUCGGUUCUUUGGUGAAGUAGUUGUUGCACAAAAUCAGACAAAGUUAACAGGUAGUUCAGUAGAAACCCCUCUCUUCCCUGAAUCCAAAAAUGAUGGGCAACUUGCAGACAUUUGGAAUACUAGCUGCUGCAAGUUUAAUGUCCAGUGCACAUACCAUCUUUGUUGGCUGAUUUUCAUCUUUUUACACUUGAUUUUUUAGCACCCGUAGCAAUGCAUGGGCAUACACCUAAUUGCUAGAGGUCAACUAAUUUUGAUCUAAUUGCUAGAGGGAAAAAAGGUUUGUUCAUUACAAUAUAAAUUGUUUUUGAGGAUUAGAAAUUUAUCAUGAAUGCAGUGCUGGUUGAUAUUAGGGUUGCAAACUUAGGCUUUCGUUAUAUUGCCCAUAGGUUGGAGAAUAGACAAUAGGAUGGAUGCAUCACAAGACAAACUAGACAAGUCGAGUGUAGUUUGUAUGCUAGGGAUUAUGCUGUCAACAAUUUUUGUAAGAUGACUCAUCAUAUGUAUGAAGGGUCACGUUUGUUCCUUCAAAAUAACUGGAAAAUUCUAAAAUGAUGGGAUUGGUUUCAUA
Long non-coding RNA from Panicum hallii, 3386 nucleotides. RefSeq lists it as uncharacterized. NCBI's taxonomy places the organism in Eukaryota, Viridiplantae, Streptophyta, Magnoliopsida, Poales, Poaceae. The transcript has 3 exons. The record is from RefSeq and is a predicted model, not a curated record.